ACGCACGCUGGCGGCGUGCUUAACACCUGCAAGUCGAACGGAAAGGCCCUGCUUGCCGGGUGCUCGAGUGGCGAACGGGUGAGUAACACGUGGGUGAUCUGCCCCUUACUUUGGGAUAAGCCUGGGAAACUGGGUCUAAUACUGGAUAGGACCAUGCUGUAGGUGGUGUGGUGGAAAGAUUAGUUUCGGUAAGGGAUGAGCUCGCGGCCUAUCAGCUUGUUGGUGGGGUAAUGGCCUACCAAGGCGUCGACGGGUAGCCGGCCGGAGAGGGUGGACGGCCACAUUGGGACUGAGAUACGGCCCAGAAUCCUACGGGAGGCAGCAGUGGGGAAUAUUGCACAAUGGGCGCAAGCCUGAUGCAGCGACGCCGCGGGGGGGAUGACGGCCUUCGGGUUGUAAACUCCUUUCAGCCAUGACGAAGCCCUUGUGGUGACGGUAGUGGUAGAAGAAGCACCGGCUAACUACGUG
Molecule: ribosomal RNA, 468 nt
Filed under: uncultured bacterium
Lineage: Bacteria
Description: partial 16S ribosomal RNA
Rfam family: Bacterial small subunit ribosomal RNA
Source: RNAcentral